Molecule: non-coding RNA, 72 nt
Organism: Podarcis lilfordi (Lilford's wall lizard)
Lineage: Eukaryota; Metazoa; Chordata; Lepidosauria; Squamata; Lacertidae
Source: the annotation of a GenBank genome assembly
ACAGCUGUAGCUCAGUGGUAGAGUAUCUGUUUUGCAUGUAGAAGGUCCCAGGUUCAAUCUCUGGCAACUGCU